CUCAGGAUGAACGCUAGCUACAGGCUUAACACAUGCAAGUCGAGGGGCAGCAUGAAGUUGCUUGCAAACUUGAUGGCGACCGGCGCACGGGUGAGUAACGCGUAUCCAACCUUCCCCUUAGUAGAGGAUAGCCCGGCGAAAGUCGGAUUAAUACUCUAUGUUGUAUUUUGAGGACAUCUGACGAAUACCAAAGAUUCAUCGCUAAGGGAUGGGGAUGCGUCUGAUUAGCUUGUUGGCGGGGUAACGGCCCACCAAGGCGACGAUCAGUAGGGGUUCUGAGAGGAAGGUCCCCCACAUUGGUACUGAGACACGGACCAAACUCCUACGGGAGGCAGCAGUGAGGAAUAUUGGUCAAUGGGCGAGAGCCUGAACCAGCCAAGUAGCGUGCAGGGAAAAGACUGCCCUAUGGGUUGUAAACUGCUUUUAUCAGGGAAUAAAGUUCGGCACGUGUGCUGUUUUGUAUGUACCUGAUGAAUAAGGACCGGCUAAUUCCGUGCCAGCAGCUGC
RNAcentral lists this ribosomal RNA (507 nucleotides) under uncultured bacterium. Its description in RNAcentral is "bacterial SSU rRNA". It matches the Rfam family "Bacterial small subunit ribosomal RNA", at positions 23 to 518 of the family's 1533-position model. The record is from RNAcentral.